GUGAGGAAUAUUGCGCAAUGGAGGCAACUCUGACGCAGCCAUGCCGCGUGCAGGAAGAAGGCGCUACGCGUUGUAAACUGCUUUUAACCGGGAAGAAACCCCAGGACGUGUCCUGGGUUGACGGUACCGGAGGAAUAAGCACCGGCUAACUUCGUGCCAGCCGCCGCGGUAAUACGAAGGGUGCAAGCGUUAUCCGGAUUCAUUGGGUUUAAAGGGUGCGUAGGCGGAGCGUUAAGUCAGUGGUGAAAUCCUGCAGCUUAACUGUAGACUUGCCAUUGAUACUGUCGCUCUUGAGUGCGCUUGAAGUGGGCGGAAUGUGCCGUGUAGCGGUGAAAUGCUUAGAUAUGGCACAGAACACCAAUUGCGAAGGCAGCUCACUAAGGCGAUACUGACGCUGAGGCACGAAAGCGUGGGGAUCGAACAGGAUUAGAAACCCCAGUAGUCC
RNAcentral lists this ribosomal RNA (445 nucleotides) under uncultured bacterium. RNAcentral describes it as "partial 16S ribosomal RNA". It matches the Rfam family "Bacterial small subunit ribosomal RNA", at positions 354 to 796 of the family's 1533-position model. The record is from RNAcentral.